RNAcentral lists this ribosomal RNA (254 nucleotides) under uncultured bacterium. RNAcentral describes it as "partial 16S ribosomal RNA". It matches the Rfam family "Bacterial small subunit ribosomal RNA", at positions 524 to 776 of the family's 1533-position model. The record is from RNAcentral.
UACAGAGGUCUCAAGCGUUGUUCGGAAUUACUGGGCGUAAAGGGCUCGUAGGCGGCCAACUAAGUCAGACGUGAAAUCCCUCGGCUUAACCGGGGAACUGCGUCUGAUACUGGAUGGCUUGAGAUUGGGAGAGGGAUGCGGAAUUCCAGGUGUAGCGGUGAAAUGCGUAGAUAUCUGGAGGAACACCGGUGGCGAAGGCGGCAUCCUGGACCAACACUGACGCUGAGGGAGCGAAAGCCAGGGGAGCAAACGGG